CAAAGCACGGGACAGGAGUGGCAGACCCCGAACAGGGCGGUGGGACCGCAGGGGCCGGGCAGGGACACCGGAGGCUGCAGGUGGCCACGAAGGAGGGCAGAGAUCACUGAAUGAUGUGAAACCUUCCUGACACAUGAAGGUCUUUGGAAGCUGAGGUGCCUGAGGGCUGCUGGCUCAGAGCAGGGCUGGCCAAGGGACCUUCUCUGAAAUCCCUUCUCCACACAGGAAGAGAAACAUUUGCUCAUCUGAUGGUGCACCUGGAACAAAUUUGCAUGGUCUGUUGAUAUUUAUUAGUGCAGGUACGUAACUUAAGGUUGAAGAGCAUUUUCCAGGUACCUGUCGUGUGCAUUACUGAAACAUAAAUCUCUAUUUUGUAUUCUACUAGCAAAAUCAGCAGCUUCAGCUGGACUUUUUCCUUAGAGGCCACAGAAAGGGCACAGUUAACUUGUUUGCACUGGGGAGCUGGCAAGAGGUUGUAAACCGAAAGGCUGUAGUACAGGAAUUAGUGCAUGUGUGAAGGGUUUCCUGCUCUGCAUUUCUCAUCUCCAGAAAGCCCCACAAUGGUUGAAACAGCUUUCCAGUGACUGUCACACACUUCAGCUUGCCCAAAGGUGUCCUGACGUGUAAGGAGAGACGAGCAGGAAGAAUGGGGGAAGAACAAGCCCGGGGAUCUGUUGUCUUUUUAGAAGCCUCAGCCAUGAUUGAUGAACUCAACAUAAAGCCACUGACUGAAGGGAAAAGAGACUCAGACAAAGAAUCUAUGUUAAACGUGAUCAAAAAUUCUGAUGGACAGUUUAACCUUGAGGCUGCAAUUAAAAAUGCUGACACAAUGUCCAAUGAAUUGAAGAAAAUAAAUGUGGAAAGCCAGCUACUGCUUUGUGACCUGAUUUUGAAUUUCAACCAUCCUAUGAAGGCCAAAGAUUUAAGAGAAGCUGAAGAAAAGACUUGGAGUUUGACUGAUUAAGUAACAUCCAUUUUCAUGUGUUGUCUUCUAUUAAUACUACUGAAGUUGCUGCUUCUUCUUCUUCUUUCUUCUUCAUUUUCUUUCUUUUAAUUAAGUUUGAACUGUACAAUGAUAGCAUGGUUUCUUGCAGGUAGACUUUGUUUUAAGCUAAAGAUGGGGAAUGGAAAAAAAAGUAGGUUAUUGCUUCUGAGAGUGUUUUUUUCAACCCACAUUUCCCAAAUUAAGCCCACUAGGGCUGGAAAGACUGAUGUAAGUAAUUAAAAAGAUCAGGAAACUGGGCAUGACAUUUCUCACGUGGUUUUCUCUUUUUAAACAAAAACGUGUUGGAGCAGUAACAAUGAUUUGAAAUUUACUUCAAGUCACUGUCUCUUGUCUCAGUUGUGCCUGGGGAAACAGGAUAAGAAACAGCCAGUGAAGGAGGAACUGCAGUUUGUGUUUUCAGCUGCCUUCCUCAUCUUAAAAAUGUUGCUGAGGAAAGAUUACUUCUGGAAAACCAAAAAUGCUUUCUAUUCUAGUUUCUGUAAUGACUCUCUAAUGCAACUAGCUACAAGAAUAGGGAGGAGUUUGUGGUUUCAGUGCUCUGUCCUGAAAUCUUCUUGGCCCAACAUUUGCACAGCCACUCUUUUCCUGUAGUUCAUUACAAUUCCUAUUCAAUCAUACUUUACUUGUGGACAUGUUUGAAUGUUGAGAUGGAGCUUUAUUCUUACCUCAGAUAUAUCUCUCUGAAUAAUCAAAUAGAGAUUUAUUCUACAUAAAAAAAUAUGCAAUGUUAGAAUUUGUUAUGCUGGUUUAUAUUGUAUUUCUCUUUCACUGGUGAGAGGAUAUAAAAUUAAUAAAACUCAAUUCCAUAGGA
Molecule: long non-coding RNA, 1817 nt
Organism: Vidua macroura (Pin-tailed whydah)
Lineage: Eukaryota; Metazoa; Chordata; Aves; Passeriformes; Viduidae
Exons: 8
Source: RefSeq, a predicted model, not a curated record